CCCUAUGGCCAUACCACCCUGAGCGCUCCGGAUCUCAUCUUAUCUCAGAAGCUAAGCAGGGUCGGUCCUGGUUAGUACUUGGAUGGGAGGCUGGCUGGGAAUAUGGGGUGCUAUAGGCU
Molecule: ribosomal RNA, 119 nt
Organism: Loxodonta africana (African savanna elephant)
Lineage: Eukaryota; Metazoa; Chordata; Mammalia; Proboscidea; Elephantidae
Source: Ensembl